This is a long non-coding RNA of Gasterosteus aculeatus aculeatus (three-spined stickleback), 5956 nucleotides long. The record is from Ensembl. Lineage: Eukaryota; Metazoa; Chordata; Actinopteri; Perciformes; Gasterosteidae.
GUGUUUGUGUGUGUGUGUGUGUGUGUGUGUGUGUGUGUGUGCCCAUAGCUAUGCUCCAGACUAACCGUUUCCACUGGUAACACGGUGCUACCUAGUUUCACAAAAAGUCAGCUUGAGAAACCUGUAAUGCUGAUUCGUGCUGCACUGCCUUUCAGUGGGAUUGUCAUUUUUACUCACUAAAUGUACUAAAAAUGAGUUCAUAAAUGCAUUUUUCUCUAGUAUGUAUGAUAAUACAUUAAAUGAUACCGUCUUACAUGUAGCUGCAUCAAUAACAACAUCAUGUAUUCUAAUAUAUAGUAAUAAUAUUAUUAUAUAUAAUAUUUCCCAACAUAAUUGUCAGGGUGGGUGGAAGGCAGGACUCAAACGCAGACGUCAAAAGCAAAAAGGACUUUAAUAGUAAUAAACUCCAACACAAAAUGGCCAAGGGGCCAAAACGCAUACAGGUACUGGGGGGAAAAGGCUGGCAGAAACUAGAGACAUCCAGGACAAUAGACAAUGACGCCACAAGUGACACAAGCGACACAUGGCUUAAAUACACAAGGGAGGUGCAGGUGAUUGGACACAGGUGGAAACGGUCAGACAAUCACAGGGGAUGACGGGACAAGGCAGGAAGUGAAGUUACCUGGGGACACGAGUGGCAGAAAACUACAAAAUAAGACAGGAAGUGAACCACACCGUGACAAUAAUAGCCAAUUUGGCUGUAUGUUGAGUUCAUUUUCUUGAUUAAAUGCUUAACUUGCAACUUUACUUUCUUAAAUCCUGGUUUGGAUACUUUUACUUUAAUCUGGUUCGUAAACUCAGUAAAACCCUGAUGCCUCAGUAUAAAUGACACAGGUACACACGACGGAAAGCUUUCCAUCCGGAUCCCUUCUGGUUAUGUCAGAGGAAAUGCUGUAGGAUCCCUAAGAAGCUCCUUCUGUGUCCGCAAGCGACGCAUCCACCAUGGACGGAAAAGCAAACCAGAUCUGGCCUUGCCCCCCCACCACCUUUAACUGACUGAAAGGUCUUCUCAGGAGACUCUGGUGCUCCAAAACGAUGCUGAUUGUCCACAAGGUUGCACAGAAUUAGACAAUGACAGUAAAAGGUAUUGUUAAGCUCCUCCUCCUAAUUCCCUGGACGCACACAUCAAAAAUGACUGCACAUGCAACCGCAUACUCUAAGAUAAACCGGCAUCAACCACUUUACACAUGCAGGCACAUUGACACCAUUGAGGAUCUUACUCAGGUGGUGUUUGCAGGAUUUCUUAUCAAGCGAGGAUGCUUGUUAGUGCCGAUGCUCAUUAGUGUUAAUUGGCAUGGGUCUAUUAAUAAAUGACGACAGGGAAAGGUUGAGGAAGACGCUCUGUCAGAUUGACAGGUGGAGGAUGCGAUGGCGUUGAGUUUGACGUGACUAGAAGUAUUUUAUUCUCCUUCACACUUAAGCACUGACAGCAUCAAUGGCCUGCAGGAGGUAACAUUUUUUUUGCCAUUCACUUGCCUUUUUUUCCUUCUUUUUUUCCGUCUGACCGUAGUGUUGUGUUGUCGCUUUUGGCCAUGAAGCUGUCCUUCAUGCUGCCGUUAUUUCUGAAUCGAGUUGUUCAGAGUGCAUUCGCGUCCGUACGCCGUUAAAGGCUAGAAGAGGCUCUGGUGCAGAAUGUCAAUGCGCCAACAUUUGCAUUUUCUUCUGAGUUUUUGUGCCAGAUUGCCAUGCGAGCGUAUGGCAGUGAGGGCGAGCGUGCGCGUCUGUGUUUUAAUAGACACAACAGCAGGUCUGAGGGUCGUAAAGCACCAAUAAACCUGAAGUCAUGAAGGAGGCGCCAUGCUGGGACUGAGAGACUCCGGGCACACUAAAGCAUAAGGACAGUUUGAACAUCAUCCACACUGGGACGACAUCGUCUCUGUUAUUACACAGCGCCAAACAGUCCCACGCUCUGUCACACUAUUGUCUGCACUGAGGUGUUUGUCCGUGUUCGCAUUCCUGCUGCUUUUUACUCACAAACCCACAUUUAAUGGUUGCAACAUUUUUCUUAAUUUUUGUGGGGAAGUUUCCAUAUUGGUAUUCUGAUUGUUCAGCUGUUUCAUCAAUACGUUGUUUUGGUAAAUAUCACAUUUCAUUUAGUCCCAAGUACUUUUGCUGGUUAGUUCAAAUACCUCAUGUUGUUUAUGGUGUGUUUGAUAUCAAACCCUAACCUAAGUCUAUGUGUCUUUGCUUUAAUCAUUUGUGGUUCUGUGCCAGCCGUUGAUUCCAUCCAGUUGAUACGUGCAGAAUCUGACCAAACCGCUAUCGGCUUCGCACUGCAAUGUUCACUCUCAACACACUUAACCCGAACAUCGCUGCGUAGCCGUGUGUCCGUCUGCAGGCUGUGAAUCGGUGAAUGGUGACAAAUGGUGUUAAAGCGCUUUGAGUGCUCAGAAGACUAGAAAAGCGCUACCCAAGUGCAGUCCAUUUAGCAUGUGUUGCCGGGGCAACCAUGAGCAUUUACACAUCCAGGACUCAAAUCUUCAGGAAGCUUUUACACACGACACAGCGAGUUUCACAUUCGCAACUUGGUGCUACGCAGCUAAGAAGAGUGUUUGUUACAUGAUAUUAAGAUGAGAAUGCCGAGAUGUCAGGAUCAGGAAUCAGGAAAUAUGUAUUGCCAUAAUAUGUCAGACAUACAAGGAAUUUGAUUUGGCGGUUGGUGCGUAACAACAGACAGUACGACAAUGGACGACAAGACAACAGUGCAAGAGGAAUAAAAUAAAUAUAAGGCUAUGGGUUAGUUUAAAAUAAAAGACUAUAAGUUAAAGUUGAAAAUAUUAAAAAAUUAAAAAAUAAACUGUGCCAGUGAACAGAAAGUGACAAAAGUGACGAGUGAAAAGUGAAAGUGACAUGUGAGUGUGAAGGGGAGUGACCGGUGGAGUGUUAUAGUCAGUCAGUGGGGGACCGGCUCUGUUGAUGAGCCCGACUGCCGACGGGAAGAAACUGUUGGUGUGGCGGGAGGUCUUAGUCCUGAUGGACCUCAGCCUCCUGCCAGAUGGAAGGGGCACAAACAGGUUUUGUCGGGGUGAGAGGGGUCGGCUACCAUCUUUUUAGCUGCUUCAGAGACCUGGAAGCGAACAAGUCCUGCAGGGACGGCAGAUUGCAGCCGAUCAGCCUCUCUGCAGAGCGGAGGACACGCAGCCUGCCCUUGUCCUUGGCUGUGGCUGCAGCGUACCAGACGGUGAUGGAGGAGCAGAGGAUGGACUCCAUGAUGGCCGUGUAGAAGUGGACCAUCAUCGUCUUUGGCAGGUUGAGUUUCUUCAGCUGCCUCAGGAAGAACAACCUCUGCUGAGCCUUCUUGGUGAUGGAGCUGAUGUUCAGCUCCCACUUGAGGUCCUGGUGAUGAUGGAGCCCAGGAAACGGAAGGAGUCCACAAUAGUGACGGGGGAGUCACACAGGGUGAUGGGGGAGGGUGGGGCUCUGUUCUUCCUGAAAUCCACAACCAUCUCCACUGUCUUUAGAGCGUUGAGCUCCAGGUUGUUCUGACUGCACCACGACACCAGAUGGUCAGACUCCACCUGUAGGCGGACUCGUCCCCACCAGAGAUCAGUCCAAUGAGGGUGGUGUCAUCCGCAAACUUCAGGAGCUUGACGGACUGGUGACUGGAGGUGCAGCUGUUGGUGUACAGGGAGAAGAGCAGAGGGGAGAGAACGCAGCCUUGGGGGGAACCGGUGCUGAUGGUCCUGGAGGUCCAGGAUGUAAAGGAACAGUAACAUAAAUGAGCCGUAAAACCUAAACGAUGUGCAGAAGAAGGACAAUUUUCAUGUAACCAUUGGAUUUAAUAAUGUUAAAUGCAUGAACACACAAGUAGUAAACCUCAACUGUUUCUGUCGCCUUAUCAAGGGAAUGACGGAAGAUGUGCACGUUUGUGUUUUUCCGGUGGAGUCACGUACGUGCACAUACACAUGCACCUGUUGUUUCCUAACCCUGGCAGAGUUGUGUUGUGGCUGUUCGUCUGCUUGCCAAUUUAUACAGUUCCCUCGUCCGUCUCCGCUAAUAGACUCUGUGACGGAGCCAGAGGUUCAGCGCGUCUUAAAUCACUCCGCCGCUCCAACUCUGACAGUGUGUUCUGUGAUGUUUAAUUAGGAAUAAUGGUUUCUAAUAUUACACCAAUUAGGCCCUGUCUCCCACUCAGCCACAGGGAGUUGUGUUAAGUGAAAAACAGGCAGGGAAAAGAAAAAGGCAGAAAACUAGAAUGAAAUGACUGUACAGGUAAUGCCAGUUUGGUGCCUCCUGAGUUAUUAGUUCAGUAGAAAAUUGGCAUUGCUGACGGAUUUCUGACUAGUGAUUAAUUUGAGCUCUUCUUAGUGGAAGUUGCUAAUGAAACUGAGGCUGAAUGAACAAUUCAAACCAGCAAAAUAUGUUUGAAAGGAGGUACAUUUGAAAAGGAUGGCUGCUGGUAGUUCGGCUCUGUGUUGUUUGCUCCGUUUACAUGACAAACUGCAUCAGAAAGCACAACGAGAGACGUACAGGUGAUUGGCGUUCAAAUCACAAGCUGGUGGGAGGAGGAGAUCACAUGUGUUUGGAAAGAGACUUAAAGGACAGGUCAUGUGUUCAGGGAGAGACGACACACCUCUGUGUGAUUUGAACAAUGAACACCUACCGUUCUUUGUGAAUGUGCGUUGGGUGCAGGUCACACACAGUGUGUGUGUGUGAGUGCGUGUGUGACCUACUUUUACUGAGCGGACACUCUAACCCCCCCCCCCCCCCUCAGUGGGCUGAUACAUCUGUUCAAAGUGAUUUUACUUUCUUUUUUUAAAUGUGUUUGUAUGCUGUUACCCUAGACAGCAGUUGACGUGGUGUGUGUGUGUGUGUGUGUGUGUGUGUGUGUGUGUGUGUGUGUGUGUGUGUGCUAUUUAAGGGAUAAAGCCCUUAGUGACCCAAUAAGGGAAACAGGAAUCGCAGCGUUUCAUUGUGAAUCCGCUCUGCUGCUCUUAUCAACAAACCCGAUGAGGAGAAGAACAAUAAAACACAGAAACGGCCUUCACGCCCUUUUUCUGAGUAAAAACACGAUGCUAAAACUAUUUCAGUCUUAUUCUUCUUAGUUUUCUGUUGUUUCUGUUUCUUUCCGGUGGAGACACAUUGGUUCUUCUGUUGGAUAGUUGUUAAAACACAAGGACCAGUUUGUGAACAUAAAAGAUGAUGUCAUGAGCUAAUGUUUCAUUGGUAAUACUCCAUUGUUUAACGUUUUAGUUAUUUGAAGAUCCCUCUGCACUGAAACGAUGACAAAGGAAGUAGCCGUCGUUUCCAGGGAGCACUUGAUUAACGUUUAUGUGGUUUUCAAUUUGAAUAUUUGAACUAAUAAAAGCUUCACAAACCAUCUGUUUGUGUUUCACCCCUGAUGCCUUGCCCAAAGGUCCCCUGUUCCUGGGACUGGCACCGCGCCCAAACGCCCCCUCCCUUUCCCUCCCUUUCCCUCCUCGCUGCUCCCUUCUUUCCUUUCCUUUCUGUCUUACUCUUUCUUUUUUGUGUAACGUCUUUACAGUUUCCUUCUUCCAGCUGCUUCCCUCCUUCCCUCCCUCCUUGCCUCCCUCCUUCCUUCCUUCCUUCCUCUUCGUCCCCGUCUGUGUUCCUCCUCUUCUUCCCUAGUCCCUUUGUUCCUCUCCUCUGGUCUCCAUUCUCCUCACCCUCUCCUCCCUUUUCUCUUCUUUCUUCUCUCUUCAUUAUCUUCCGUUUUUUCCUCCAACUCUGGUCCUCCUCCUCUUCCCCACUCAUUUCAUCUCAUUUCAUCUCAUUUCAUCUCUUUUCAUCUCUUUUCAUCUCUUUUUAUAUUCUUCUCUCAUAUUAUUCAUCUCUCUCAUAUUCUGUAUUUCCUCCCUCAUUUGUAUCGCUACUUUUUACUUUCUUCUUCUCUCCUCCUUUCUCCUCCUUCUCAAUCUGUGUCUCUUCCUUCUUCCUCCUCACCCAGUGUAUUAAAUCGCUCAUCCUCCAUCUCUCCUCUCCUGCUUCACCUCCC